UAACCGUUAAGUCGAAGAGUUCCGAAUAGGACAACCUGUAUAUCCUUUUAUAAGGAAGCCAACCCGCUGAACUGAAACAUCUAAGUAGGCGGAGGAAAAGAAAGAGAAAUCGAUUCCCUAAGUAGCGGCGAGCGAACCGGGAACAGCCCAAACCGGUUAUGUUUAGGCAUAACCGGGGUUGUAGGACUGCGAUAUUUGGUAUAUAAUUGAAAUAGAAGUUGCAUGGAAAGGCACACAAUAUAAGAUGACAGUUCUGUAUAUGUAAGAUUAUAUAUUGAUAGCAGUAUCCUGAGUAGGGCGGGGCACGAGAACCCCUGUCUGAAUUAGCCCGGACCACCGGGUAAGGCUAAAUACUCCUGAGAGACCGAUAGUGAACCAGUACCGUGAGGGAAAGGUGAAAAGAACCCCGAACAGGGGAGUGAAAAAGAACCUGAAACCGUGUGCUUACAAGCGGUCGGAGCCCUAUGGGGUGACGGCGUGCCUUUUGCAUAAUGAGCCUACGAGUUGCUCCUAUAUGGCAAGGUUAAAUUCUUAAGGAAUGGAGCCGAAGCGAAAGCGAGUCUUAACAGGGCGUAAUGAGUCAUAUGGGGCAGACGCGAAACCUUGUGAUCUACCCUUGGGCAGGUUGAAGUUUCGGUAACACGAAAUGGAGGACCGAACCGAUAAACGUUGAAAAGUUUCCGGAUGACCUGAGGGUAGGGGUGAAAGGCCAAUCAAACUGGGAGAUAGCUCGUACUCCCCGAAAUGCAUUUAGGUGCAGCCUUGUAAUGAGUAUAUUGGAGGUAGAGCUACCGAUUAGACUAGGGGGAUUCAACUCCUACCGAAUCUUGACGAACUCCGAAUGCCAGUAUAUGCUUUACAGGAGUGAGGCGAUGGGUGCUAAGGUCCGUUGCCGAGAGGGGAACAACCCAGACUGCCGGCUAAAGGUCCCAAAACAUAUGCUAAGUUGACCAAACGAGGUGAGGUUGCACAGACAGCUAGGAUGUUGGCUUGGAAGCAGCCAUUCAUUUAAAGAGUGCGUAACAGCUCACUAGUCGAGCGACCUUGCGUGGAUAAUACGCGGGCAUAAAGCAUAUUACCGAAGCUGCAGAUUGUGUAUGAAUUUAUACAAUGGUAGGGGAGCAUUCUAACAGCGGAGAAGCAGUCGUGCGAGUGAUUGUGGAGCGGUUAGAAACGCAAAUGUAGGCAUGAGUAACGAUAAUGGAGGCGGGAAACCUCCACGCCGAAAAGCUAAGGAUUCCGGGGCUAUGCUAAUCAGCUCCGGGUUAGUCGGGACCUAAGGAGACCCCGAACGGGUUAUUCGAUGGACAGAAGGUUAAUAUUCCUUCACCUUGUAUACACUAAAAGUGACGGAUUGACGAGGCUGUUACGUGCUGACGGAAAUGCACGUAGAGCUUAGCCUUCGGGCGAAGCGAAACAGAUACAUCGGUUCCAAGAAAAGCGAGUAUACAAGCCCGUACCGUAAACCGACACAGGUAGCUGGGAAGAGAAUUCUAAGGCGCUCGGAAGAUUCACGGUUAAGGAACUAGGCAAAAUAACCCCGUAACUUCGGGAUAAGGGGAACCUCAGCAAUGAGGUCGCAGAGAAAUGAUCCAAGCGACUGUUUAGCAAAAACACAGGGCUAUGCCAACUCGCAAGAUGACGUAUAUGGCCUGACACCUGCCCGGUGCCGGAAGGUUAAAUGGGGAUGUAAUCGCAAGAGAAGCAUUGAAAUGAAGCCCCGGUAAACGGCGGCCGUAACUAUAACGGUCCUAAGGUAGCGAAAUUCCUUGUCGGGUAAGUUCCGACCUGCACGAAUGGUGUAACGAUUU
RNAcentral lists this ribosomal RNA (1811 nucleotides) under termite gut metagenome. RNAcentral describes it as "bacterial LSU rRNA". It matches the Rfam family "Bacterial large subunit ribosomal RNA", at positions 93 to 2010 of the family's 2925-position model. The record is from RNAcentral.